Molecule: ribosomal RNA, 315 nt
Filed under: uncultured eukaryote
Lineage: Eukaryota
Description: partial 18S ribosomal RNA
Rfam family: Eukaryotic small subunit ribosomal RNA
Source: RNAcentral
CCCUUAGACGUUCUGGGCCGCACGCGCGCUACACUGACCAGUGCAACAAGCAUCCGUCCUUGGCCGACAGGCCCGGGCAAUCUUUGAACGCUGGUCGUGAUGGGGAUAGACUUUUGCAAUUUUUGGUCUUCAACGAGGAAUUCCUAGUAAACGCAAGUCAUCAACUUGCAUUGAUUACGUCCCUGCCCUUUGUACACACCGCCCGUCGCACCUACCGAUUGAAUGGUCCGGUGAAGCCUCCGGAUUGGCGCGCACCUCGGUGCCGCCGAGAAGUUGGCUAAACCUUACCAUUUAGGGGAAGGUGAAGUCGUAACG